Triticum dicoccoides is the source of this 338-nucleotide long non-coding RNA. RefSeq lists it as uncharacterized. NCBI's taxonomy places the organism in Eukaryota, Viridiplantae, Streptophyta, Magnoliopsida, Poales, Poaceae. The record is from RefSeq and is a predicted model, not a curated record. The transcript is spliced from 2 exons.
GCCUGCCGCCCGGAUUCUUGGGAUCCAGUUGUCACGCCUAAUUUCGGUUCUCAAGCACCAAAAGAAGGCACAAUAAACAAGCCGAAUGGAUAAAUUUCUCCCAGGUUCUCAAUGCUAGAUGACCAUGACACCAAGAGAUGGAUACAUUUGUUUGCAUUAUCUUUGUUGCAAAAUGAUGUUGUGGCUGUGAUGAACUGUUUGCUGUGAAAGAUUAUGUUGUUAUGAUAAAUUAUGAAUGCUGGGAUUUGGGAUUCAAAGUCAUGCUGUUAUGAUAAAUUAUGUUGUUGCCGUGAUGAGAUAUUGCUUUCAAGUCAUGCAAAAUUAUGUUGUUGGGAAAA